Molecule: long non-coding RNA, 545 nt
Organism: Panthera uncia (snow leopard)
Lineage: Eukaryota; Metazoa; Chordata; Mammalia; Carnivora; Felidae
Exons: 3
Source: RefSeq, a predicted model, not a curated record
AAUGCUCCCUUUAAAGACAGCAAUAUUUGGGGACGGAGGGAUUCACCAAAGAGAAGUAACUCAAGAGGGCCUGAGAUCUGGAGGACUGUUGCUGGAGUAAACUGGCAUAAUUGUGAUGCCCACCUCCAGACCAGACUAAUUGCAGGCAGAGAAACAGAGAGCAGGGAGGCAUGGUGAUGUCCAAGCCCAGCCGUAGAGUGGGACAUUAUCUGGAAAAGAAGGACACCCACCCCAGAAGGCCAGCUGGGGAGCUAUUGCAAUAGUGUGGUUCACACGAUGCGAGUUGGCAUUUGAGUUCUCCCUGGAAGCAUGGAGGAGUGUGGAUAGGAGACACCGCCAGUUCUGUUUACAGGUCACCACAGACCCGUUUCCCAAGCCAGUGAAAACCCACACUGUACCACAGAUGGAUUGUAACGGAUGGAUCUUUUUUCCAACAUGUGGCUUCCUGUAAUUUAAGGAAAUGUUAUACGUGAACAAUUAAAAUCAUAUAUCAAAAAAGAAGCAAAGCCCCAAUAGUUUCCUAUUCUAUCAAAUUACAAAAAUUG